This is a long non-coding RNA of Lepidothrix coronata (blue-crowned manakin), 700 nucleotides long. RefSeq lists it as uncharacterized. The transcript has 4 exons. The record is from RefSeq and is a predicted model, not a curated record. Lineage: Eukaryota; Metazoa; Chordata; Aves; Passeriformes; Pipridae.
CUUAGUGCCAUGGUCUAGUUGACAGAGUGGUGUUUGGUCACAGGUUGGACUCCAUGAUCAGAGGUCUUUUCCAGCACAGUGGGAUUCUCAUGUGUGUAAUUCAAGUAAUGCUGGAACUGGAGCAAAUGUCAGGCAGGAUGUGGUACUAGCUCUGGUUAGAUUACUGCCCUCUACAUUUGAGUUCACUGUAGUCAGUGGUUGUCUUCCUGUUCCUUAUUCUUCAUUUCCUCAAUGCUGAGAGACACUAUCAGCAUUCGUAAAUUGUGACCCAUCGAUAAGGGAAGCUGCAUUAAGGAGAACAAGGCUCCCUGUGUUUACUCUUUUGACAAGGAUUUGAAAAUGCAGCAGAUUAUAUACUGGUACCAAUGUCUCCAGUGGGGCAGGUGUGCAAGGACAGAUAGAAAAAUAUGAGGCAAAUGUAUACUGAACUGCAAGGUCACCAAGAGCUGGAAAAGAACACAAGUCCACCAACUUAUAUUGCAAGGCAUCCUAUUCCAUGGACCAUAUUUUUCCCCUAGUCUGAGAGAAAUUCAGUUCCCAGAGAUCAGGCAUUCAUAAUCCCUGAUUUGCAGCAUCGGAAGGGCAUAAGGAACAAGUUCUUCUCAAUGAAUAGAGAGGGAUGAGGAGGUAAAUGCAUCCACAUACUUAGCAUUAGAUACCUAAAUGCCCAGGCUAGGAGCUUGCACUCCUUCUGUAGUUA